GAUGAAGAACGCAGUGAAAUGCGAUACUUGGUGUGAAUUGCAGAAUCCCGUGAACCAUCGAGUCUUUGAACGCAAGUUGCGCCCGAAGCCAUCAGGUUGAGGGCACGUCUGCCUGGGCGUCACAUAUCGUUGCCCAAUGCCUAUUGCAGUGCAAUAGGAAUUUCUAGGGCGAAUGAUGGCUUCCCGUGAGCGUUGUUGCCUCGCGGUUGGUUGAAAAUCGAGUCCUUGGUAGGGUGUGCCAUGGUAGAUGGUGGUCGAGUUAGAACGAUACUGAUCAUGUGCAUGCUCCCCAAAAUAUGGCCUCUAUGACCCACACGCGUCUUUUGACGCUCAUGACGAGACCUCAGGUCAGGCGGGGCUACCCGCUGAAUUUAAGCAUAUCAAUAAGCGGAGGA
Molecule: unclassified non-coding RNA, 395 nt
Filed under: soil metagenome
Description: partial contains 5.8S ribosomal RNA, internal transcribed spacer 2, and large subunit ribosomal RNA
Rfam family: 5.8S ribosomal RNA (bases 1-122)
Source: RNAcentral